Molecule: ribosomal RNA, 460 nt
Filed under: uncultured bacterium
Lineage: Bacteria
Description: partial 16S ribosomal RNA
Rfam family: Bacterial small subunit ribosomal RNA
Source: RNAcentral
CCUACGGGUGGCAGCAGUGAGGAAUAUUGGUCAAUGGGCGCUAGCCUGAACCAGCCAAGUAGCGUGAAGGAUGACUGCCCUAUGGGUUGUAAACUUCUUUUAUAUGGGAAUAAAGUGCAGUAUGUAUACUGCUUUGCAUGUACCUUAUGAAUAAGGAUCGGCUAACUCCGUGCCAGCAGCCGCGGUAAUACGGAGGAUCCGAGCGUUAUCCGGAUUUAUUGGGUUUAAAGGGAGCGUAGGAGGGUUGUUAAGUCAGGUGUGAAAGUUUGCGGCUCAACCGUAAAAUUGAAGUUGAUACUGGCAUCCUGGAGGACAGUAGAGGUAGGGGGAAUUCGUGGUGUAGCGGUGAAAGGCUUAGAUAUCACGAAGAACUCCGAUGGAGAGGGCAGCCUGUGGGACUGUAACUGACGCUGAUGCUCGAAAGUGUGGGUAUAAAACAGGAUUAGAUACCCUAGUAGUG